RNAcentral lists this ribosomal RNA (305 nucleotides) under uncultured bacterium. RNAcentral describes it as "partial 16S ribosomal RNA". It matches the Rfam family "Bacterial small subunit ribosomal RNA", at positions 333 to 655 of the family's 1533-position model. The record is from RNAcentral.
CUAGGCCUACGGGGGGCAGCAGUGGGGGAUAUUGCACAAUGGGGGAAACCCUGAUGCAGCGACGCCGCGUGAGCGAUGAAGUAUUUCGGUAUGUAAAGCUCUAUCAGCAGGGAAGAAAAUGACGGUACCUGGCUAAGAAGCCCCGGCUAACUACGUGCCAGCAGCCGCGGUAAUACGUAGGGGGCAAGCGUUAUCCGGGUUUACUGGGUGUAAAGGGAGCGUAGACGGCGAUGCAAGUCUGGAGUGAAAGGCGGGGGCCCAACCCCCGGACUGCUUUGGAAACUGUAUAGCUGGAGUGCAGGAGG